This is a non-coding RNA of Dehalobacter sp. CF, 240 nucleotides long. The record is from Rfam. NCBI's taxonomy places the organism in Bacteria, Bacillati, Bacillota, Clostridia, Eubacteriales, Desulfitobacteriaceae.
AAAGUCCUUGCUGGGAAAGGUCUAGCCAACCACCCAUAUUGCGUGUUGCGCCGAAGCUGGAAACAGCAAGGUGAAGCGUACACAGAGAACCAUAUAGGCCAUAGGGAGAACCGUAACUCCUGAAGCACAUGUCCCCAGCCCCGUUAACAAGAUAAAUGCAGAUGGCGACGUGUUUAACGUCACGGAAGCCAACACAGAGGAAUCGACAAACGGCAAAAAAAAACCUAUUGGGCUUGGGCC